CAGUAGCCGCGGGAAUACGAGGGGGGCAAGCGUUGUUCGGAUUUAUUGGGCGUAAAGGGUGCGUAGGCGGUUUGGCAAGUCUUGUGUGAAAUCUUCGGGCUCAACCCGAAGCCUGCACGAGAAACUACUGGGCUUGAGUAUUGGAGAGGUGAGUGGAAUUUCCGGUGUAGCGGUGAAAUGCGUAGAUAUCGGAAGGAACACCUGUGGCGAGAGCGGCUCACUGGACAAUAACUGACGCUGAUGCACGAAAGCUAGGGGAGCAAACAGGAUUAGAUACCCCAGUAGUCCCUGUCUCUUAUAA
This 301-nucleotide ribosomal RNA is filed under the name uncultured bacterium. RNAcentral's name for it is "partial 16S ribosomal RNA". It matches the Rfam family "Bacterial small subunit ribosomal RNA", at positions 509 to 809 of the family's 1533-position model. The record is from RNAcentral.